This 406-nucleotide ribosomal RNA is filed under the name uncultured bacterium. RNAcentral's name for it is "partial 16S ribosomal RNA". It matches the Rfam family "Bacterial small subunit ribosomal RNA", at positions 30 to 526 of the family's 1533-position model. The record is from RNAcentral.
AUUGAACGCUGGCGGCAGGCUUAACACAUGCAAGUCGAACGAGUGGCGGACGGGUGAGUAAUGCUUGGGAAUCUAGCUUAUGGAGGGGGAUAACUACGGGAAACUGUAGCUAAUACCGCGUACCAUAGGAUGAGCCCAGGUGGGAUUAGGUUGUUGGUGAGGUAAAGGCUCACCAAGGCGACGAGCCCUAGCUGGUCUGAGAGGAUGACCGGCCACACUGGCACUGAGACACGGCCCAGACUCCUACGGGAGGCAGCAGUGGGAAAUAUUGCGCAAUGGGCGCAACCCUGACGCAGCCAUGCCGCGUGAAUGAAGAAGGCCUUCGGGUUGUAAAGUACUUUCGGUGGCGAGGCGUUACCUACAGAAGAAGCACCGGCUAACUCCGUGCCAGCAGCCGCGGUAAUUC